UACGUAGGGUGCAAGCGUUGUCCGGAAUUAUUGGGCGCAAAGAGCUCGUAGGCGGUCUGUCGCGUCGGCUGUGAAAACUCGGGGCUCAACCCCGAGCCUGCAGCCGAUACGGGCAGACUAGAAUUCGGUAGGGGAGACUGGAAUUCCUGGUGUAGCGGUGAAAUGCGCAGAUAUCAGGAGGAACACCGGUGGCGAAGGCGGGUCUCUGGGCCGAUAUUGACGCUGAGGAGCGAAAGCGUGGGGAGCGAACAGG
Molecule: ribosomal RNA, 253 nt
Filed under: uncultured bacterium
Lineage: Bacteria
Description: partial 16S ribosomal RNA
Rfam family: Bacterial small subunit ribosomal RNA
Source: RNAcentral